GUGGGGAAUAUUGCACAAUGGGGGAAACCCUGAUGCAGCGACGCCGCGUGAGUGAAGAAGUAUUUCGGUAUGUAAAGCUCUAUCAGCAAGGAAGAAAAUGACGGUACUUGACUAAGAAGCCCCGGCUAACUACGUGCCAGCAGCCGCGGUAAUACGUAGGGGGCAAGCGUUAUCCGGAUUUACUGGGUGUAAAGGGAGCGUAGACGGCAAGGCAAGUCAGAAGUGAAAACCCAUGGCUCAACCAUGGGACUGCUUUUGAAACUGUCUGGCUGGAGUGCAGGAGAGGUAAGCGGAAUUCCUAGUGUAGCGGUGAAAUGCGUAGAUAUUAGGAGGAACACCAGUGGCGAAGGCGGCUUACUGGACUGUAACUGACGUUGAGGCUCGAAAGCGUGGGGAGCAAACAGG
RNAcentral lists this ribosomal RNA (405 nucleotides) under uncultured bacterium. RNAcentral describes it as "bacterial SSU rRNA". It matches the Rfam family "Bacterial small subunit ribosomal RNA", at positions 354 to 776 of the family's 1533-position model. The record is from RNAcentral.